This 236-nucleotide unclassified non-coding RNA is filed under the name plant metagenome. RNAcentral's name for it is "partial contains small subunit ribosomal RNA, internal transcribed spacer 1, and 5.8S ribosomal RNA". The record is from RNAcentral.
UUUCCGUAGGUGGACCUGCGGAAGGAUCAUUACUGAGUGAGGGCCCCUCGGGGUCCAACCUCCCACCCGUGUUUAACGAACCUUGUUGCUUCGGCGGGCCCGCCUCACGGCCGCCGGGGGGCAUCUGCCCCCGGGCCCGCGCCCGCCGAAGCCACCUGUGAACGCUGUCUGAAGUAUGCAGUCUGAGACAAUUAUUAAAUUAAUUAAAACUUUCAACAACGGAUCUCUUGGUUCCG